This 301-nucleotide ribosomal RNA is filed under the name uncultured bacterium. RNAcentral describes it as "partial 16S ribosomal RNA". It matches the Rfam family "Bacterial small subunit ribosomal RNA", at positions 509 to 807 of the family's 1533-position model. The record is from RNAcentral.
CAGCAGCCGCGGUAAUACGAAGGGUGCAAGCGUUACUCGGAAUUACUGGGCGUAAAGCGUGCGUAGGUGGUGGUUUAAGUCCGUUGUGAAAGCCCUGGGCUCAACCUGGGAAUUGCAGUGGAUACUGGGUCACUAGAGUGUGGUAGAGGAUAGUGGAAUUUCCGGUGUAGCGGUGAAAUGCGUAGAGAUCGGGAGGAACAUCAGUGGCGAAGGCGGCCAUCUGGGACAACACUGACGCUGAAGCACGAAAGCGUGGGGAGCAAACAGGAUUAGAUACCCCCGUAGUCCCUGUCUCUUAUAC